RNAcentral lists this ribosomal RNA (253 nucleotides) under uncultured bacterium. RNAcentral describes it as "partial 16S ribosomal RNA". It matches the Rfam family "Bacterial small subunit ribosomal RNA", at positions 524 to 776 of the family's 1533-position model. The record is from RNAcentral.
UACGAAGGGGGCUAGCGUUGUUCGGAUUUACUGGGCGUAAAGCGCACGUAGGCGGAUCGUUAAGUCGGGGGUGAAAUCCUGGAGCUCAACUCCAGAACUGCCUUCGAUACUGGCGAUCUUGAGUCCGGAAGAGGUGAGUGGAACUCCUAGUGUAGAGGUGGAAUUCGUAGAUAUUAGGAAGAACACCGGUGGCGAAGGCGGCCAUCUGGACCGAGACUGACGCUGAGGCGCGAAAGCGUGGGGAGCAAACAGG